ACAAGUGAGGGAGAUUUGGCUGUGCUGUCUCUCACCCCAUAAUGCUCCAGGCUGAUUCAACUGAUAUGGCUACAUGGAGUCUGCUUUCUCCUUCACUACUCCAGGUACCUCUGUUCCAGAGCAGCAUGCUCAGUUGAUAAGAUUGAGUUUUCCUCAUAGAGGAGGAUGGUCAUAGGUGAAGGGCAUGUGAGCAGUUAUACUCUUCUGUUAAAACUUCCAAGCACUCUCAAGAUAUGCUCUCAUGUUUACUGAAUGCCUGUUCCCAUUUCCAUGCUUCAU
Molecule: unclassified non-coding RNA, 279 nt
Organism: Peromyscus maniculatus bairdii (prairie deer mouse)
Lineage: Eukaryota; Metazoa; Chordata; Mammalia; Rodentia; Cricetidae
Gene: 7SK
Rfam family: 7SK RNA
About the family: 7SK was discovered as an abundant small nuclear RNA in the mid-70s but a possible function has only recently been suggested. Two independent studies have found that 7SK RNA binds the CDK9/cyclin T complex (known as elongation factor P-TEFb).
Source: Ensembl